GACGAACGCUGGCGGCGUGCUUAACACAUGCAAGUCGAACGGAAAGGCCCUGCUUUUGUGGGGUGCUCGAGUGGCGAACGGGUGAGUAACACGUGAGUAACCUGCCCUUGACUUUGGGAUAACUUCAGGAAACUGGGGCUAAUACCGGAUAGGAGCUCCUGCUGCAUGGUGGGGGUUGGAAAGUUUCGGCGGUUGGGGAUGGACUCGCGGCUUAUCAGCUUGUUGGUGGGGUAGUGGCUUACCAAGGCUUUGACGGGUAGCCGGCCUGAGAGGGUGACCGGCACCAUGGGGACUGGGAAACGCCCCGACCCCAUGCGGGGGGAAGGAGGGGGGAAAUUGCCACAAGGGGCGGAGGCCUGAGGCAACAACCCCGGGUGCGGGAUGGCGGCCUUCGGGUUGUAACCCGCUUUCCCCUGUGACGAAGCGGGAUGGGCGGAAAUGGUAAAAAAAGCCCCGGCAAACUCCUU
This 467-nucleotide ribosomal RNA is filed under the name uncultured bacterium. Its description in RNAcentral is "partial 16S ribosomal RNA". It matches the Rfam family "Bacterial small subunit ribosomal RNA", at positions 28 to 506 of the family's 1533-position model. The record is from RNAcentral.